Molecule: ribosomal RNA, 375 nt
Filed under: uncultured bacterium
Lineage: Bacteria
Description: bacterial SSU rRNA
Rfam family: Bacterial small subunit ribosomal RNA
Source: RNAcentral
UAAUACGUAGGCAGCAAACGUUGUUCGGAAUUACUGGGCGUAAAGAGUGUGUAGGCGGUUUUGUAAGUUUGGUGUGAAAUCUCCCGGCUUAACUGGGAGGGUGCGCCGAAAACUGCAAGGCUUGAGUGCUGGAGAGGAUAGCGGAAUUCCUGGUGUAGCGGUGAAAUGCGUAGAUAUCAGGAGGAACACCGGCGGUGUAGACGGCUAUCUGGACAGUAACUGACGCUGAGACACGAAAGCGUGGGGAGCAAACAGGAUUAGAUACCCUGGUAGUCCACGCCCUAAACGAUGCAUACUUGGUGUAGGCCAUUCAGUUGGUCUGUGUCGGAGCUAACGCGUUAAGUAUGCCGCCUGGGGAGUACGGUCGCAAGGCUG